UCUCCGUAGGUGAACCUGCGGAGGGAUCAUUACAAGUGACCCCGGUCUUACCAUCGGGAUGUUCAUAACCCUUUGUUGUCCGACUCUGUUGCCUCCGGGGCGACCCUGCCUUCGGGCGGGGGCUCCGGGUGGACACUUCAAACUCUUGCGUAACUUUGCAGUCUGAGUAAACUUAAUCAAUAAAUUAAAACUUUUAACAACGGAUCUCUUGGUUCUG
RNAcentral lists this unclassified non-coding RNA (217 nucleotides) under plant metagenome. RNAcentral describes it as "partial contains small subunit ribosomal RNA, internal transcribed spacer 1, and 5.8S ribosomal RNA". The record is from RNAcentral.